UAGGCGUAAAUGAUGCGAGUUAAGUGUGGGGCAUCUACGAGAUGGCCCUGUGCUGUAGGGUAGCCGUUAAACUCGCUGCCUGGGGAGUACGGUCGCAAGGCUGAACUUAAGGAUUGGCGGGGGAGCACCACAACGGGUGGAGCCUGCGGUUUAAUUGGACUCAACGCCGGGAAGCUCACCGGAUAAGACAGCGGAAUGAUUGCCGGGCUGAAGACCCUGCAUGACCAGCUGAGAGGAGUGCAUGGCGUAGUCGUGU
RNAcentral lists this ribosomal RNA (256 nucleotides) under uncultured archaeon. Its description in RNAcentral is "partial 16S ribosomal RNA". It matches the Rfam family "Archaeal small subunit ribosomal RNA", at positions 748 to 1009 of the family's 1478-position model. The record is from RNAcentral.